RNAcentral lists this ribosomal RNA (465 nucleotides) under Vreelandella stevensii. RNAcentral's name for it is "partial 16S ribosomal RNA". It matches the Rfam family "Bacterial small subunit ribosomal RNA", at positions 338 to 795 of the family's 1533-position model. Lineage: Bacteria; Pseudomonadati; Pseudomonadota; Gammaproteobacteria; Oceanospirillales; Halomonadaceae. The record is from RNAcentral.
CCUACGGGGGGCUGCAGUGGGGAAUAUUGGACAAUGGGGGGAACCCUGAUCCAGCCAUGCCGCGUGUGUGAAGAAGGCCCUCGGGUUGGAAAGCACUUUCAGUGAGGAAGAACGCCUGGUGGUUAAUACCCAUCAGGAAAGACAUCACUCACAGACGAAGCACCGGCUAACUCCGUGCCAGCAGCCGCGGUAAUACGGAGGGUGCGAGCGUUAAUCGGAAUUACUGGGCGUAAAGCGCGCGUAGGUGGCUUGAUAAGCCGGUUGUGAAAGCCCCGGGCUCAACCUGGGAACGGCAUCCGGAACUGUCAAGCUAGAGUGCAGGAGAGGAAGGUAGAAUUCCCGGUGUAGCGGUGAAAUGCGUAGAGAUCGGGAGGAAUACCAGUGGCGAAGGCGGCCUUCUGGACUGACACUGACACUGAGGUGCGAAAGCGUGGGUAGCAAACAGGAUUAGAUACCCUAGUAGUC